GAUGAACGCUGGCGGCGUGCCUAAUACAUGCAAGUCGAGCGAACAGACGAGGAGCUUGCUCCUCUGACGUUAGCGGCGGACGGGUGAGUAACACGUGGAUAACCUACCUAUAAGACUGGGAUAACUUCGGGAAACCGGAUCUAAUACCGGAUAAUAUAUUGAACCGCAUGGUUCAAUAGUGAAAGACGGUUUUGCUGUCACUUAUAGAUGGAUCCGCGCCGCAUUAGCUAGUUGGUAAGGUAACGGCUUACCAAGGCGACGAUGCGUAGCCGACCUGAGAGGGUGAUCGGCCACACUGGAACUGAGACACGGUCCAGACUCCUACGGGAGGCAGCAGUAGGGAAUCUUCCGCAAUGGGCGAAAGCCUGACGGAGCAACGCCGCGUGAGUGAUGAAGGUCUUCGGAUCGUAAAACUCUGUUAUUAGGGAAGAAAAAAUGUGUAAGUAACUAUGCACGUAUUGACGGUACCUAAUCAGAAAGCCACGGCUAACUACGUG
Molecule: ribosomal RNA, 497 nt
Filed under: uncultured bacterium
Lineage: Bacteria
Description: partial 16S ribosomal RNA
Rfam family: Bacterial small subunit ribosomal RNA
Source: RNAcentral